This 587-nucleotide ribosomal RNA is filed under the name uncultured bacterium. RNAcentral describes it as "bacterial SSU rRNA". It matches the Rfam family "Bacterial small subunit ribosomal RNA", at positions 337 to 916 of the family's 1533-position model. The record is from RNAcentral.
UCCUACGGGAGGCAGCAGUGGGGAAUAUUGCACAAUGGAGGGGACCCUGAUGCAGCCAUGCCGCGUGUGUGAAGAAGGCCUUCGGGUUGUAAAGCACUUUCAGUUGUGAGGAAAAGUUAGUAGUUAAUACCUGCUAGCCGUGACGUUAACAACAGAAGAAGCACCGGCUAACUCCGUGCCAGCAGCCGCGGUAAUACGGAGGGUGCGAGCGUUAAUCGGAAUUACUGGGCGUAAAGCGCACGCAGGCGGUUUGUUAAGCUAGAUGUGAAAGCCCCGGGCUCAACCUGGGAUGGUCAUUUAGAACUGGCAGACUAGAGUCUUGGAGAGGGGAGUGGAAUUCCAGGUGUAGCGGUGAAAUGCGUAGAUAUCUGGAGGAACAUCAGUGGCGAAGGCGACUCCCUGGCCAAAGACUGACGCUCAUGUGCGAAAGUGUGGGUAGCGAACAGGAUUAGAUACCCUGGUAGUCCACACCGUAAACGCUGUCUACUAGCUGUGUGUGUCUUUAAGACGUGCGUAGCGAAGCUAACGCGCUAAGUAGACCGCCUGGGGAGUACGGCCGCAAGGUUAAAACUCAAAUGAAUUGACGG